Long non-coding RNA from Tribolium castaneum (red flour beetle), 2176 nucleotides. RefSeq lists it as uncharacterized. The record is from RefSeq and is a predicted model, not a curated record. The transcript has 2 exons. Lineage: Eukaryota; Metazoa; Arthropoda; Insecta; Coleoptera; Tenebrionidae.
GGGGGUGAAAGUGGGAUACGCGCAUUGGCAACUCGAGAGUAUAGGCGAGGGGGGCUUUGCACUCCCGGGGAGAUGAAAAGGAACGACCAAUGACGACUGCUUAUUUUAAAACAAGCGCGUAUUCAUUAGGGAUUUCAUUAAUUUGUAUUUUUUGACGUAACAAUGACAUCUACGCUUGCGCUCAGAUCGCUAAAAAGAUCGCGCCGAAAAUAUCGCGCCAAAAGUGUUGUGUUUUGUCACUCAUCGUUCAACGUGUUACCGGAAUACGUUAGUGAGUCAAUUCCUGGUGUUGAGCACCGACCAAAAAGAUAAGUAUCUCUUCUUUUGCUAACAUAACUUCAUCUUUUUGAUUGGUGUUUCUUUCUAUUUUAAAGGCAUUGGUCUCUGGGCUGGGGUGACGGAUUUUUGAUUUCUACUACUCAAGCGAACUUUAGUCAUGGCUGGUUAUCGCAAAUAUUCCUGCAAAUACCCCGGAUGCACCAGUGGUUAUGUUCCCAACAAAGGACAUGCCAACAAGCAUUUCUUCACUUUCCCUAAGAAUCCAAAGCUUCACGAAUUGUGGAGGAAUGCCUGCAAAAUUGAGGAUCCUGUAAGUUCAAAAUUUUGGCGUUUAUGUGAGGAUCAUUUUGAAAGUCGCGAUUUUGUUAAUGAGAGGAAGGAUAAAUUAAAUCCACAUGUAGUUCCAAAACCAUGCGUUAUGGCCCCACAAGAGGAGUUUGUUGAGGUUUCCAACUGACUCAAAAAAGUACCGGUGUGCUUUGACAGAUGAGUCGCCCCAUUUGGCAUUUUGGUCAAAAUUGUUAACGGAGAUGGGCCAUUGGAAACUAAUAGAUUUGAAAAAUGGAACUGAUUGUACCAAUCAGUUUUCAUUCGUCAAGGGUUGGCAGACGACAAUCAGGUCUAUUAUUUUUUUAUGGAAUCACCUCAAAAACAUCGAUGGGUUUGAUUUUUUGAACUUGAGGGGUCUAAACCAAGACCCCUUGGAGAAUCUUUUCUGUAGUAUUCGCCAGCACGGUGUUGCAAACACGAAUCCCACAUGCCACCAGUUCACAGCUGCCUUGAAAACCGUAGUUGUUAACAAUUUGGUUUCACCAAAAGGCUGUGGUAAUUGUGAGGAUGACGAGUGCACGCCUUUGGAAAACUUGGGGAGAUUAUUGAACUUUUCAGGGAAUGAGGAAAGAGAGCAGGAAUCGCAUCCAGAAAUUUCAGUGGACUUUUCUACAUUACAGCAACCAGACCUUUGCUGUGAAGACAGUCAAGGUUUGGCUUAUGUUGCUGGCUAUGUAUUGAAGGAAAUUGAGGUUCCUGAUUGCGAAAACUGUCAGAAUAAACUAUAUUCUGAGGAGCCGACAGAGCACCAUCUCUUAGUCUCAUUCAAGGAAUUUGACGAUAAUCAGCGGCGACUGAAGUAUGCUAGUGAACAUGUAAUGUGGCUUGUUCAAAACAUUCAUGACUGUUUAUACAGUUUCCUUGAUACCUAUGCUCACCACGCAAUGUUGGAAGACAGGUUCAAAGAAAUUUAUAAAUCUCAGUUUGAUUUUGGGCCAGCCUAUUGCAUGACUCACGACUGUGAUAAUUUAAUAUUAAAUAGGUGUACCACCUUUUUAAUAUAUAAAUACACAAGAGACAAGCAGAAAGCAAAAUCCGUUACCACCGGUCAUAUAGAAAAAAUGAAAAAAUUCCGAAGGCUGUGAUUUGUAAAUAGACUGUGAUUUGUACAUAGAAGGCUGUGAUUUGUAGAUAUAUAUUUAAACAAGAAAUGUAUUUUUUUUUUAAUUUAUUUGUACAUAGUUCUUUUGGAGGAAAUAUUUCUGUUUUAAUUUAUAUAGUUUAAAAUUGUUUGUUAAGUUUUUUGAUGUUUUUUAGAAUUCUCUAUUUAGGUUAUUUCAGAAUUUACUUUUAAGUUUCUUAUUUGCGCUCGAGUGUGUCAGUGCACUGCAUGUACCUCCUCGUGGUCGUAGCGCGGGCAACUGUUUGCUGACAGACAAGGUAAAAGUCAUUGCAAAGAAGGCCUUAUUUUGUUUUAAGUCUGGAGCAGACAGGCAAAACAUGCCAACACUGACUGAUUCAAUUUUUUGAUAAUUUUUGUAUAAUUAAGAAAUAAUACAAUACUUUAAUUUUUUGAAAAAUUUAAUUUGUUAUGUUACUCAAGUGUGCAAUAAAAAUGUUAACAAAA